This is a long non-coding RNA of Erinaceus europaeus (western European hedgehog), 191 nucleotides long. RefSeq lists it as uncharacterized. The record is from RefSeq and is a predicted model, not a curated record. The transcript is spliced from 3 exons. NCBI's taxonomy places the organism in Eukaryota, Metazoa, Chordata, Mammalia, Eulipotyphla, Erinaceidae.
UAAUCUCUCCUUACUUAAAAUAUACUAGCACCUGGUAGGAGCUGCCAGAGAACAACGUUGCACAAAGCCACAGCAGAAGAGGGCUCCUUGCCCAGGCCCCCAGAUGUGCUGUUCUUUUUCUACUCUCAGGUGGAGACUUAGAGCUUGAACCCAGAACCUUUCUCAUAGAAAUAUGUGCACUUUACCAGGUG